This 520-nucleotide ribosomal RNA is filed under the name Macrothele calpeiana. RNAcentral describes it as "partial 16S ribosomal RNA". It matches the Rfam family "Bacterial large subunit ribosomal RNA", at positions 1830 to 2707 of the family's 2925-position model. Lineage: Eukaryota; Metazoa; Arthropoda; Arachnida; Araneae; Macrothelidae. The record is from RNAcentral.
UUCUAAAUGAUAUUUAUAUUUAGUAAGACCUGCUCAAUGUAUAAUAAAUAGCCGCGGCUAUCCGUGCUAAGGUAGCAUAAUCAUUUGCCUCUUAAUUAGAGGCUAGAAUGAAAGGUCUAACAUAUUAUUAUCUUUAUUUAAAUAUUUUCUUUAAAUUUUCCAGUAAGUAAAAAGACUUACAUUCUUUAGGGGGACGACAAGACCCUAUCGAACUUUACUUUUAGUUAAGCUGGGGUGGCCAAAAAACAAUUUCUUCUUCCCCAUCUUCCAAAAAAAACCUUAAUUAGAUCAAUCAAGUUACCGUAGGGAUAACAGCAUAAUCUUUUUUUAUAGGUCCUAUUAUAAAAAAAGAUUGUGACCUCGAUGUUGAAUUAAUUAUCUAUUAGGAGCAAGAUCUUAAUAAGAAAGUCUGUUCGACUUUUAAAUAAUUACAUGAUUUGAGUUCAGACCGGCGUGAGCCAGGUCGGUUUCUAUCUCCUCUUAUUAUCUACUAGUACGAAAGGAACAUAGAUAAUUUUUU